GUCUGACGGAGCAACGCCGCGUGAACGAUGAAGGCCUUCGGGUCGUAAAGUUCUGUUGUUAGGGAAGAACAAGUACCAGAGUAACUGCUGGUACCUUGACGGUACCUAACCAGAAAGCCACGGCUAACUACGUGCCAGCAGCCGCGGUAAUACGUAGGUGGCAAGCGUUGUCCGGAAUUAUUGGGCGUAAAGCGCGCGCAGGCGGUUUCUUAAGUCUGAUGUGAAAGCCCACGGCUCAACCGUGGAGGGUCAUUGGAAACUGGGGAACUUGAGUGCAGAAGAGGAGAGUGGAAUUCCACGUGUAGCGGUGAAAUGCGUAGAGAUGUGGAGGAACACCAGUGGCGAAGGCGACUCUCUGGUCUGUAACUGACGCUGAGGCGCGAAAGCGUGGGGAGCGAACAGGAUUAGAUACCCUGGUAGUCCACGCCGUAAACGAUGAGUGCUAAGUGUUAGAGGGUUUCCGCCCUUUAGUGCUGCAGCAAACGCAUUAAGCACUCCGCCUGGG
Molecule: ribosomal RNA, 505 nt
Filed under: Bacillus sp. (in: firmicutes)
Lineage: Bacteria; Bacillati; Bacillota; Bacilli; Caryophanales; Bacillaceae
Description: bacterial SSU rRNA
Rfam family: Bacterial small subunit ribosomal RNA
Source: RNAcentral